AUUGAUUCGCCAAGAGGAUUUAUAUAGAAAAUCAUCUUUUCCUUUGGUUUGAUUAUCUGGAACACAAUAGAAUACAAAAAAGUUUUUGAAUAAAAAUUUACAAAAAAAGAAAUACAUCAAAAUCUGGCUUACUGUUAGCGUCCAAUGGAAGUUUGCAACAAUACAGCACAUAAGUAUUUCCUCCAGUGAUAGAAGCCCAGCUGGUGCCAACACUUCAGUUUUAUUCUAUUAGCAAUCAAACUUAAAAUCAUACAAUUGAUAUUUACAUAAAACGUUGUAAAUAUGUUUAUUAAUGUUAAUUAUAUAAAUAAUUU
Molecule: long non-coding RNA, 314 nt
Organism: Hydra vulgaris (swiftwater hydra)
Lineage: Eukaryota; Metazoa; Cnidaria; Hydrozoa; Anthoathecata; Hydridae
Source: RefSeq, a predicted model, not a curated record